ACGAACGCUGGCGGCGUGCUUAACACAUGCAAGUCGAACGGAAAGGCCCUGCUUGCAGGGUACUCGAGUGGCGAACGGGUGAGUAACACGUGGGUGAUCUGCCCUGCACUUCGGGAUAAGCCUGGGAAACUGGGUCUAAUACCGGAUAGGAGCCAUUUUUAGUGUGAUGGUUGGAAAGUUUUUUCGGUGUAGGAUGAGCUCGCGGCCUAUCAGCUUGUUGGUGGGGUAAUGGCCUACCAAGGCGGCGACGGGUAGCCGGCCUGAGAGGGUGGACGGCCACAUUGGGACUGAGAUACGGCCCAGACUCCUACGGGAGGCAGCAGUGGGGAAUAUUGCACAAUGGGCGCAAGCCUGAUGCAGCGACGCCGCGGGGGGGAUGACGGACUUCGGGUUGUAAACUCCUUUCGCUAGGGACGAAGCUUUUUGUGACGGUACCUAGAUAAGAAGCACCGGCUAACUACGUG
This 464-nucleotide ribosomal RNA is filed under the name uncultured bacterium. RNAcentral describes it as "partial 16S ribosomal RNA". It matches the Rfam family "Bacterial small subunit ribosomal RNA", at positions 29 to 507 of the family's 1533-position model. The record is from RNAcentral.